GUGGGGAAUCUUGCGCAAUGGGCGAAAGCCUGACGCAGCCAUGCCGCGUGAAUGAUGAAGGUCUUAGGAUUGUAAAAUUCUUUCACCGGGGACGAUAAUGACGGUACCCGGAGAAGAAGCCCCGGCUAACUUCGUGCCAGCAGCCGCGGUAAUACGAAGGGGGCUAGCGUUGCUCGGAAUUACUGGGCGUAAAGGGCGCGUAGGCGGACAGUUUAGUCAGAGGUGAAAGCCCAGGGCUCAACCUUGGAAUUGCCUUUGAUACUGGCUGUCUUGAGUACGGGAGAGGUGAGUGGAACUCCGAGUGUAGAGGUGAAAUUCGUAGAUAUUCGGAAGAACACCAGUGGCGAAGGCGACAUACUGGCUCAUUACUGACGCUGAGGCGCGAAAGCGUGGGGAGCAAACAGGAUUAGAUACCCCUGUAGUCC
Molecule: ribosomal RNA, 425 nt
Filed under: uncultured bacterium
Lineage: Bacteria
Description: partial 16S ribosomal RNA
Rfam family: Bacterial small subunit ribosomal RNA
Source: RNAcentral